GGCCACAGUCACAUCACCCUGCAGCCCAAGACUGGUUGCCCACUGAAGCUAAGCAGGGUUGAGCUGGUCAGUACCUGGAUGGGAGACCUCCUGGGAAAAUUAGGUUGCUGUUGGAA
RNAcentral lists this ribosomal RNA (116 nucleotides) under Sinocyclocheilus rhinocerous. Lineage: Eukaryota; Metazoa; Chordata; Actinopteri; Cypriniformes; Cyprinidae. The record is from RNAcentral.